AUUUUAGUUUCUGUAAUUAGAUUAACAUAAAAAAAUACUAAUCGCAUAAGAUUUAAUUAAUAUAAAAAAUAACUAAACUUUAAAAAUCUUCUACUUUAUUUGGUCACCUUGCUUUCUUUGCAUUAUAUUUCCAUAAUAUAUCUUAAGAGCAUCACCUAUUAAUCAGAUAAGGUGGAGACUUGAUCACCCUUCCUUAGCCCAC
RNAcentral lists this long non-coding RNA (202 nucleotides) under Elaeis guineensis (African oil palm). Its description in RNAcentral is "long non-coding RNA (EGUI_LNC076003)". Lineage: Eukaryota; Viridiplantae; Streptophyta; Magnoliopsida; Arecales; Arecaceae. The record is from RNAcentral.